UAGGGAAUCUUCCACAAUGGACGCAAGUCUGAUGGAGCAACGCCGCGUGAGUGAAGAAGGUUUUCGGAUCGUAAAGCUCUGUUGUUGGUGAAGAAGGAUAGAGGCAGUAACUGGUCUUUAUUUGACGGUAAUCAACCAGAAAGUCACGGCUAACUACGUGCCAGCAGCCGCGGUAAUACGUAGGUGGCAAGCGUUGUCCGGAUUUAUUGGGCGUAAAGCGAGCGCAGGCGGAAUGAUAAGUCUGAUGUGAAAGCCCACGGCUCAACCGUGGAACUGCAUCGGAAACUGUCAGUCUUGAGUGCAGAAGAGGAGAGUGGAAGUCCAUGUGUAGCGGUGGAAUGCGUAGAUAGAUGGAAGGACACCAGUGGCUAAGGCGGCUCUCUGGUCUGCAACUGACGCUGAGGCUCGAAAGCAUGGGUAGCGAACAGG
This 429-nucleotide ribosomal RNA is filed under the name bacterium. Its description in RNAcentral is "partial 16S ribosomal RNA". It matches the Rfam family "Bacterial small subunit ribosomal RNA", at positions 355 to 776 of the family's 1533-position model. The record is from RNAcentral.